GUCGAACGGUGAUGACCAGCUUGCUGGUCGGAUCAGUGGCGAACGGGUGAGUAACACGUGAGUAACCUGCCCCAGACUCUGGGAUAAGCCUUGGAAACGAGGUCUAAUACUGGAUAUGAGAUGCCCCUGCAUGGGGAGUGUCUGGAAAGAUUUAUCGGUCUGGGAUGGACUCGCGGCCUAUCAGCUUGUUGGUGGGGUAAUGGCCUACCAAGGCGACGACGGGUAGCCGGCCUGAGAGGGCGACCGGCCACACUGGGACUGAGACACGGCCCAGACUCCUACGGGAGGCAGCAGUGGGGAAUAUUGCACAAUGGGCGCAAGCCUGAUGCAGCGACGCCGCGUGAGGGAUGAAGGCCUUCGGGUUGUAAACCUCUUUCAGCAGGGAAGAAGCGCAAGUGACGGUACCUGCAGAAGAAGCGCCGGCUAACUACGUGCCAGCAGCCGCGGUAAUACGUAGGGCGCAAGCGUUGUCCGGAAUUAUUGGGCGUAAAGAGCUCGUAGGCGGUUUGUCGCGUCUGGUGUGAAAACUCAAGGCUCAACCUUGAGCUUGCAUCGGGUACGGGCAGACUAGAGUGCGGUAGGGGUGACUGGAAUUCCUGGUGUAGCGGUGGAAUGCGCAGAUAUCAGGAGGAACACCGAUGGCGAAGGCAGGUCACUGGGCCGCAACUGACGCUGAGGAGCGAAAGCAUGGGGAGCGAACAGGAUUAGAUACCCUGGUAGUCCAUGCCGUAAACGUUGGGCACUAGGUGUGGGGCUCAUUCCACGAGUUCCGUGCCGCAGCAAACGCAUUAAGUGCCCCGCCUGGGGAGUACGGCCGCAAGGCUAAAACUCAAAGGGAUUGACGGGGGCCCGCACAAGCGGCGGAGCAUGCGGAUUAAUUCGAUGCAACGCGAGAACCUUACCAAGGCUUGACAUACACCGG
Molecule: ribosomal RNA, 922 nt
Filed under: Oerskovia enterophila
Lineage: Bacteria; Bacillati; Actinomycetota; Actinomycetes; Micrococcales; Cellulomonadaceae
Description: bacterial SSU rRNA
Rfam family: Bacterial small subunit ribosomal RNA
Source: RNAcentral